GACGGGGGGGGCAAGUGUUCUUCGGAAUGACUGGGCGUAAAGGGCACGUAGGCGGUGAAUCGGGUUGAAAGUUAAAGUCGCCAAAAACUGGUGGAAUGCUCUCGAAACCAAUUCACUUGAGUGAGACAGAGGAGAGUGGAAUUUCGUGCGUAGGGGUGAAAUCCGCAGAUCUACGAAGGAACGCCAAAAGCGAAGGCAGCUCUCUGGGUCCCUACCGACGCUGGAGUGCGAAAGCAUGGGGAGCGAACGGG
This 251-nucleotide ribosomal RNA is filed under the name uncultured bacterium. RNAcentral describes it as "partial 16S ribosomal RNA". It matches the Rfam family "Bacterial small subunit ribosomal RNA", at positions 524 to 776 of the family's 1533-position model. The record is from RNAcentral.